RNA transcript from Brassica rapa (field mustard), 2381 nucleotides. It is a transcript of the gene named RNA-binding KH domain-containing protein RCF3, with no coding region annotated. The record is from RefSeq and is a predicted model, not a curated record. NCBI's taxonomy places the organism in Eukaryota, Viridiplantae, Streptophyta, Magnoliopsida, Brassicales, Brassicaceae.
AUGACAAGCGAUAAUAAAGGGGGAGAUAAUCACAACAGGCAAAACUCUUGGGGGGGGUGUAUUAGUAAAAUACGAAAAUAAUAUAAUCGAAAAACUGUUAACAUAACUAACCGAAUCAAAUCAAGUCAGCUCGAACCCUAGAUCGAUUAAUCCCCAAAUCCGACGAAUCGAUAACCAAGAUUUACAAUGUCACCGGAUCACAGAGACAGCCAUCGAAAGAGGUCGCGUCCUCACUCCGACGACGACGACAACGGUGGAAGCAAGAGGAGGCACCGCGGAGGAGACGAUAGAGACUCGCAUACGAUCGAUCGCGACGACACUGUGUUCCGUUACCUCUGCCCGGUUAAAAAGAUUGGGAGCGUCAUUGGGAGAGGAGGCGAUAUCGUCAAGCAGCUGAGGAUGGAGACUAGGGCGAAGAUUAAGAUAGGGGAAGCUAUCCCUGGAUGCGACGAGCGAGUGAUCACGAUCUAUAGCGCUAGCGAUGAGACCAAUGCCUUUGGGGAUGAUGGAGAGAAAGCUCUUUCUCCUGCGCAGGAUGCUUUGUUUAAAAUCCAUGACAGAGUUGCUGCGGAUGAUGCGCGGCGGAGCGAAGAUAGCUCUGAGGGAGAGCAGCAAGCUAUUGCUAAGCUGCUUGUUCCUUCGGAUCAGAUUGGGUGUAUUCUCGGGAGAGGUGGCCAGAUUGUUCAGAAUAUUAGGAGUGAAACUGGUGCUCAGAUUCGUAUUAUCAAGGAUAGGAACAUGCCUCUUUGUGCCUUGAGUUCAGAUGAGCUCAUUCAGAUAUCUGGAGAAGUGCUUCUUGUUAAGAAGGCUCUGCAUCAGAUAGCCGCCCGCCUUCAUGAGAAUCCUUCACGUACACAGAACCUACUUUCCUCUGCAGUUGCCGGUGGAUAUCCUUCUGGCUCACUCAUGAGCCAUGCGGGUGGUCCUCGAAUUGUGGGGAUAGCACCGCUGAUGGGUUCCUACGGAGGGUACAAAAGUGAAGCCGGAGAUUUUGCACGCCCUUUGUACGAAGCUCGGAGAAAUGAGCCGCCGGCGACAGAUUUCUAUAUUCGGCUAGUUUCCCCAGUUGAGAACAUUGCAAGUGUUAUUGGUAAAGGUGGUGCUCUAAUCAAUCAGCUUCGUCAGGAAACCAGGGCAACUAUUAAAGUUGAUAGCGCCAGAACCGAAGGAAAUGAUUGUUUGAUAACUAUAUCAGCAAGAGAGGUUUUCGACGAUGCGUAUUCCCCAACCAUAGAGGCAGCUAUGCGUCUGCAACCAAAAUGCAGCGAGAAGAUUGAAAGAGACUCUGGACUUGUUUCGUUUACAACUCGCAUUCUUGUGCCAAGCUCUAGGAUUGGUUGUCUUCUUGGUAAAGGAGGAGCUAUCAUUACUGAGAUGAGGAGAAUGACGAGAGCUAACAUCCGAGUUCUCGGGAAGGAAAAUCUUCCGAAAGUUGCAUCCGAAGAUGAUGAGAUGGUUCAGAUCUCCGGAGAACUUGAUGUUGCCAAAGAAGCUCUCUUACAAAUUACAUCAAGAUUAAGAGCCAACGUUUUUGACAGAGAAGGAGCUGUUUCUGCAAUCAUGCCGGUCCUGCCUUAUGUUCCUGUAGCACCAGAUACUGGUGAUAGAUUGGACUAUGAUAGAAGAGAUAGCAGAAGACCUGAACGCGGGAAUCAUUAUCCUGGUGGUUAUGGCUCAAGUGGUCUGUCUUCUGAAUAUUCGCCUUAUGGUGCGCCGGUAUGUCUGCUUAAAGGUUGGCGGUAGUAGUAGUACUCCAUAUGGAGUGUAUGGAGGAGGUUAUGCAUCUGGACGCAGUGGCAGUUCUGGGUUAUCCAGCCAUUCAUCAACCCAUCGACGCAGAAACUAUGAUUACUAGAAGCUAUUGGUGGGUGAUGAAAAAGGUUAGAUUUUUUAUAUUAUGGAUUUGUUUAAGUUAUCUUUUGAACUUAGUUAACCUAGCUAUUUUUUGCCCCAAGUAUAUGAGAUAAUCUGAUCUGAUCUGUCCCGGUGCAUUGCUUUUUUUCCCUUUGUGACCUUUUCCCCUCGUACCUCUAAAACAGUGUGAGAUCCUGAAGCCUGAUGCCUACCCCACAGCCCACAGCUGAAGCCUUUUCACAAAACAAGAUGACAAAGCUGAACCACCAAACUCACCGAUUACAUGUUGUUGACAUAUUUAAGUUUGUUUCAAAUAUUUCCAUGUCUGCUUGAGACCAAACUACCACCAAGCUCCUACCCGUUAAACCAUAUUUAGUUGCCUGUAAUGCUGUCUAUCUAUGUAUCAUCUUUCAGUUUACCUUUGUCUUUCCUCGGAUCAGAUUCAGAAACCUUUGGUUUGGCUAUGCUUAGUUGCAUUUGUAUGAAUUAUAUAAUUUAUGUUAAACACGCUCCUAGUUUUCAGCAUC